Molecule: non-coding RNA, 296 nt
Organism: Otolemur garnettii (small-eared galago)
Lineage: Eukaryota; Metazoa; Chordata; Mammalia; Primates; Galagidae
Source: Rfam
GCCAGGUGCAGCGGCGCCUGCCUGUAGUCCCAGCUACUCGGGAGGCUGAGACAGGAGGAACACUUGGGUCCAGAAGUUCUGGGCUAUAGUGUGCUAUGCCAAUCUGGUGUCCACUAAGUUCGGCAUCAAUAUGGUGACCUCCCAGGAGUGGGGGGCCACUAGGUUGCCUAAGGAGGGGUAAACUGGCCCAGGUCAGAAACAGAGCAGGUCAAAACUCCUGUGCUAAUCUGUAGAGGGACUGCGCCUGUAAAUAGCCACUGAAUACCAGCCUGAGCAACAUAGUAAGACCCCCCCAU